GGAGUGGAACAGGUGGCCGCUGGCUUGGUAGUCUUCAGGCUGGAGGAAAGUCCGGGCUCCACAGGGCGGAAUGCCGGAUAACGUCCGGCGGGGGCGACCCCAGGGAAAGUGCCACAGAAAGCAAACCGCCGGUCGGGAUGCAACACACCACCGGUAAGGGUGAAAGGGUGCGGUAAGAGCGCACCGCGCUUCCCGGUAACGGGGGCGGCAUGGUAAACCCCAUUCGGAGCAAGACCAAAUAGGGGGACGAUUAAGGAUGGCCCAUCCAGUCCCCGGGUAGGUUGCUAGAGGUGAUCGGUAACGGUCAUCCCAGAGGAAUGGCCACCGCCUGUCCCCCCCGGGAAGGGGGAUGGGAACAGAACCCGGCUUACCGUUCCACUCCGGUC
RNAcentral lists this RNase P RNA (386 nucleotides) under Magnetococcales bacterium. RNAcentral describes it as "RNase P RNA component class A". It matches the Rfam family "Bacterial RNase P class A". From Rfam's summary of the family: Ribonuclease P (RNase P) is a ubiquitous endoribonuclease, found in archaea, bacteria and eukarya as well as chloroplasts and mitochondria. Its best characterised activity is the generation of mature 5'-ends of tRNAs by cleaving the 5'-leader elements of precursor-tRNAs. Cellular RNase Ps are ribonucleoproteins. The record is from RNAcentral. Lineage: Bacteria; Pseudomonadati; Pseudomonadota; Magnetococcia; Magnetococcales.